GGGAUUGAGUCAAAAUAUGUAAUACCACUCUGUAUAGUUUUAAAUUCUAACCCUGGGCUGUUAUGAGUCACAAAAGACUUAUGAUUUUGAGCCGUUAAUUAUGAUAUAUUUAAAAGAGGAUUAGAUUAGUCGAAGUUGUAAUUAUCGUAUUUGCGGUUCAUAAAUUUGUAUGUCGUUUUGGUUAUUCAUACCAGUCCGGGGACAGUGCCUGGCGGGUAGUUUGACUGGGGCGGUCGCCUCCUAAAUGGCAACGGAGGCGUUUACAAAGGUUGGCUAGACUCGGAUGGAAAUCGAGUCGAUAGUGCAAAAGCAUAAGCCAGCUUUACUGCGAGACUUAUUAGUCGAUCAGUUACGAAAGUAGAAUUUAGUGAACCGACUGUCGCAAAUAGAUGCGCAGAAGAUCAUCAGAUAAAAGUUACCCCGGGGAUAACAGGCUGAUCCCAUCCAAGAGUCCAUAUCGACGAUGGGGUUUGGCACCUCGAUGUCGGCUCAUCGCAUCCUGGGGCUGGAGAAGGUCCCAAGGGUUUGGCUGUUCGCCAAUUAAAGCGGUACGUGAGCUGGGUUCAAACCGUCGUGAGACAGGUUGGUCUCCUAUCUGCUGUAGGCGUUAUUGCUUGAGAGGACUUUUUCCUAGUACGAGAGGACCGGAAAGAACAAACCUCUGGUGUACCAGCUGUUCCGCCAGGAGCACUGCUGGGUAGCUACGUUUGGACGGGAUAACCGCUGAAAGCAUAUAAGCGGGAAGCCCACCUCAAGAUUAGGCAAUUUUUGAUCUUCGGAUCAAAACGAUUUCCUGGAAGAUGACCAGGUUGAUAGGUCUCAGGUGAAAGCAGAGCGAUCUGUUAAGCCAAGAGAUACUAAUAAAUUGAACUUUAUCUCUCU
RNAcentral lists this ribosomal RNA (882 nucleotides) under bacterium. Its description in RNAcentral is "partial 23S ribosomal RNA". It matches the Rfam family "Bacterial large subunit ribosomal RNA", at positions 2177 to 2925 of the family's 2925-position model. The record is from RNAcentral.